CCCUUAGAUGUUCUGGGCCGCACGCGCGCUACACUGACGAAUGCAACGAGCUUAUAACCUUGGCCGAAAGGUCUGGGUAAUCUCCAAAUUACGUCGUGAUGGGGAUAGAUUAUUGCAAUUAUUAAUCUUCAACGAGGAAUGCCUAGUAAGCGCAAGUCAUCAGCUUGCGUUGAUUACGUCCCUGCCCUUUGUACACACCGCCCGUCGCUCCUACCGAUUGAAUGGUCCGGUGAAGCGUUCGGACCGUGGCCUUUGGACGGUUCGCCGUCUGUUGGCUGCGGGAAGUUCGUUAAACCUUAUCAUUUAGAGGAAGGAGAAGUCGUAACA
This 327-nucleotide ribosomal RNA is filed under the name uncultured eukaryote. Its description in RNAcentral is "partial 18S ribosomal RNA". It matches the Rfam family "Eukaryotic small subunit ribosomal RNA", at positions 1470 to 1796 of the family's 1831-position model. The record is from RNAcentral.